Long non-coding RNA from Ananas comosus (pineapple), 871 nucleotides. RefSeq lists it as uncharacterized. The transcript is spliced from 3 exons. NCBI's taxonomy places the organism in Eukaryota, Viridiplantae, Streptophyta, Magnoliopsida, Poales, Bromeliaceae. The record is from RefSeq and is a predicted model, not a curated record.
CUCCCCUCUAUUUAGCUUCGUGUAGAGAGAGAGAGAGAGGUCUUCUAGCUGCAACUCUCCAUCUCUCUCACUCUCCCACCCGGUUGGAAGCAAGGAAGGAGCUUACUUGGAGUUUCGUCGCCGACGUCGCGCCGCGGGAUCGUUCGAGCACGUAUUUGACGCCGGGACUUUGCGAGAAGACCGGGCGAGCGUGCGACUACGCUGUUCUUGACGUCGUGCUGGUGCUUGUCGCUGUCGAGUAUUUCAGCUCGUUCUCGACGUAGGAGUAUCGGAUUACGACGAGACUUGGCUCUUUGGAUUCAGGACUUCGAGAGGAAUCCACGAAGCCCUUACUUGCUGGAUUUGGUGAAGAGCUCGAGCGUGGACGAUUUCUGGACUCGGAGCUGUGCGUUUGAUCCAGCAAGUUGCUCUACACCAGUGGGAGUCCUUCGUUGCCAAGGAUUAGCAUUUUAGGUGGGUUACAUCGGCUUUACUCCUAAGUUCUUAUUGGUCGACAUGUAUAGAUCUUGAUUUCGGUAAUUGUGUUAGCUCAAAUUCAUGGACUAUAUGUAGAUUGUGAAAUCUGGAUUUUGGAGCAUGAUUUAUAAAUUAAGUAGAUUAUACAUGUUGGACUUGGAAAUUGAAUUAGGAGAAAACCUGCGAUUUGGACCUGUCACCAGUUUUAACUACCUGAUUUAGCUCUAGGAGCCGUUAGAAAAUUGUACUCUCGCAGUUUCUUCGAGACGAGUACUCCAGGUAGUUUAGAAUGUAUUUACACUCGUGCUGGUUCGUCGAGUGGAUUUUUAUAGGGUCAUUCAGGUCGUUUCGGACUGUUGGGUGCCGUCAGAGUCGACGGUGGACCCGUAUCGCCUUUUUGGCGUCAGAUUGUGCC